This 253-nucleotide ribosomal RNA is filed under the name uncultured bacterium. RNAcentral's name for it is "partial 16S ribosomal RNA". It matches the Rfam family "Bacterial small subunit ribosomal RNA", at positions 524 to 776 of the family's 1533-position model. The record is from RNAcentral.
UACGUAGGGGGCAAGCGUUGUCCGGAAUCAUUGGGCGUAAAGCGCGUGUAGGCGGUUCAGUAAGUCUGCUGUGAAAGUCCAGGGCUCAACCCUGGGAUGCCGGUGGAUACUGUCGGGCUUGAGUACGGAAGAGGCGAGUGGAAUUCCUGGUGUAGCGGUGAAAUGCGCAGAUAUCAGGAGGAACACCAAUUGCGAAGGCAGCUCGCUGGGACGUUACUGACGCUGAGACGCGAAAGCGUGGGGAGCAAACAGG